This 23-nucleotide non-coding RNA is filed under the name Arabidopsis thaliana (thale cress). The record is from RNAcentral. Lineage: Eukaryota; Viridiplantae; Streptophyta; Magnoliopsida; Brassicales; Brassicaceae.
CACUAACUAUACCAUUCAUGUGU